UACAGAGGGUGCAAGCGUUGUUCGGAAUUAUUGGGCGUAAAGCGCGUGUAGGCGGCUUUUGCAAGUCGGGGUGUGAAAAUCCCUCGGCUCAAACCGAGGAAGUGCGCCCGAAACUGCAGAGCUUUGAGUACUGGAGAGGAUGGUGGAAUUCCCCAAGUAGAGGUGAAAUUCGUAGAUAUGGGGGAGGAACACCGGUGGCGAAGGCGACCAUCUGGACAGAUACUGACGCUGAGACGCGAAAAGCGUGGGGGAGCAAACAGG
RNAcentral lists this ribosomal RNA (261 nucleotides) under uncultured bacterium. RNAcentral's name for it is "partial 16S ribosomal RNA". It matches the Rfam family "Bacterial small subunit ribosomal RNA", at positions 524 to 776 of the family's 1533-position model. The record is from RNAcentral.